GCCCACCUUUCCGAAGUGCGCGGCCCAGUGCACGGGCGUCCAGCCGUAGAAGGAGUCCUCGGCGGCCAGAUGGCGUUUCCUGAGAGGCUCGGAGCUCCCCGUUGGCUGUAAAUGUCCACGUAAUGAAGUCCAAGGCACCGACAUCUCCCUUAACAGCGAGAAAAGCGAGCCGAUUCAACCCCCGAUGGGACUCAUUAGAUCUUAACCCCAGCCUCUGAAGAGUUCUAAAGCAUCCUUGACGUGGCUUCUGCAGAUGUUGGGUAGAUUUUGCUCCUUGCCACAGAGUCCUGCUCCCCGCUUUCUCCCCAUGUACACACAUGAUUUUAUUUGUACUGAAAUGUGAUUUUAUUUGUAUGUUAAUAAAUAAAGUUGCUUGG
This is a long non-coding RNA of Peromyscus leucopus (white-footed mouse), 377 nucleotides long. RefSeq lists it as uncharacterized. The record is from RefSeq and is a predicted model, not a curated record. The transcript has 3 exons. Lineage: Eukaryota; Metazoa; Chordata; Mammalia; Rodentia; Cricetidae.